RNAcentral lists this ribosomal RNA (280 nucleotides) under uncultured bacterium. Its description in RNAcentral is "partial 16S ribosomal RNA". It matches the Rfam family "Bacterial small subunit ribosomal RNA", at positions 338 to 615 of the family's 1533-position model. The record is from RNAcentral.
CCUACGGGAGGCAGCAGUAAGGAAUAUUGGGCAAUGGACGGAAGUCUGACCCAGCCAUCCCGCGUGCAGGAAGAAUGCCCUAUGGGUUGUAAACUGCUUUUGUUUGGGAAGAAAUGUAUUUUUUCAAGAGUAUUUGACGGUACCAGACGAAUAAGCACCGGCUAACUCCGUGCCAGCAGCCGCGGUAAUACGGAGGGUGCAAGCGUUAUCCGGAAUCACUGGGUUUAAAGGGUGCGUAGGCGGCCAGAUAAGUCAGAGGUGAAAGUUUCCGGCUCAACCG